GCCUGGGUGGCUCAGUUGGUUGAGCGUCAGACUUUGGCUCAGGUCACGAUCUCACAGCUCGUGAGUUCGAGCCCCACAUCGGGCU
Molecule: transfer RNA, 85 nt
Filed under: Felis catus (domestic cat)
Lineage: Eukaryota; Metazoa; Chordata; Mammalia; Carnivora; Felidae
Rfam family: tRNA
About the family: Transfer RNA (tRNA) molecules are approximately 80 nucleotides in length.
Source: Rfam by way of RNAcentral